GAUGAACGCUGGCGGCGUGCCUAAUACAUGCAAGUCGAGCGAACAGACGAGGAGCUUGCUCCUCUGACGUUAGCGGCGGACGGGUGAGUAACACGUGGAUAACCUACCUAUAAGACUGGGAUAACUUCGGGAAACCGGAGCUAAUACCGGAUAAUAUAUUGAACCGCAUGGUUCAAUAGUGAAAGACGGUUUUGCUGUCACUUAUAGAUGGAUCCGCGCCGCAUUAGCUAGUUGGUAAGGUAACGGCUUACCAAGGCAACGAUGCGUAGCCGACCUGAGAGGGUGAUCGGCCACACUGGAACUGAGACACGGUGCAGACUCCUACGGGAGGCAGCAGUAGGGAAUCUUCCGCAAUGGGCGAAAGCUUGACGGAGCAACGCCGCGUGAGUGAUGAAGGUCUUCGGAUCGUAAAACUCUGUUAUUAGGGAAGAACAAAUGUGUAAGUAACUAUGCACGUCUUGACGGUACCUAAUCAGAAAGCCACGGCUAACUACGUG
Molecule: ribosomal RNA, 497 nt
Filed under: uncultured bacterium
Lineage: Bacteria
Description: partial 16S ribosomal RNA
Rfam family: Bacterial small subunit ribosomal RNA
Source: RNAcentral